AACGAACGCUGGCGGCAGGCUUAACACAUGCAAGUCGAACGCCCCGCAAGGGGAGUGGCCGACGGGUGAGUAACGCGUGGGAAUCUACCCAUCCCUACGGAAUAACGCAUGGAAACGUGUGCUAAUACCGUAUACGCCCUACGGGGGAAAGAUUUAUCGGGGAUGGAUGAGCCCGCGUUGGAUUAGCUAGUUGGUGGGGUAAAGGCCUACCAAGGCGACGAUCCAUAGCUGGUCUGAGAGGAUGAUCAGCCACAUUGGGACUGAGACACGGCCCAAACUCCUACGGGAGGCAGCAGUGGGGAAUAUUGGACAAUGGGCGCAAGCCUGAUCCAGCCAUGCCGCGUGAGUGAUGAAGGCCUUAGGGUUGUAAAGCUCUUUCACCGGAGAAGAUAAUGACGGUAUCCGGAGAAGAAGCCCCGGCUAACUUCGUG
RNAcentral lists this ribosomal RNA (431 nucleotides) under uncultured bacterium. Its description in RNAcentral is "partial 16S ribosomal RNA". It matches the Rfam family "Bacterial small subunit ribosomal RNA", at positions 29 to 507 of the family's 1533-position model. The record is from RNAcentral.